RNAcentral lists this ribosomal RNA (330 nucleotides) under uncultured eukaryote. RNAcentral's name for it is "partial 18S ribosomal RNA". It matches the Rfam family "Eukaryotic small subunit ribosomal RNA", at positions 1470 to 1796 of the family's 1831-position model. The record is from RNAcentral.
CCCUUAGAUGUUCUGGGCCGCACGCGCGCUACACUGAUGAAUUCAACGAGCUCCUAACCUAGGCCGAAGGGUCCGGGUAAUCUUUGAAAUUUCAUCGUGAUGGGGAUAGAUUAUUGCAAUUAUUAAUCUUCAACGAGGAAUUCCUAGUAAGCGCGAGUCAUCAGCUCGCGUUGAUUACGUCCCUGCCCUUUGUACACACCGCCCGUCGCUCCUACCGAUUGAAUGGUCCGGUGAAAUGUUCGGAUCGCGGCAAAUCGGACGGGUAACCGUCAGGUUCGCUGCGAGAAGUUCAUUAAACCUUAUCAUUUAGGGGAAGGAGAAGUCGUAACA